This 253-nucleotide ribosomal RNA is filed under the name uncultured bacterium. RNAcentral's name for it is "partial 16S ribosomal RNA". It matches the Rfam family "Bacterial small subunit ribosomal RNA", at positions 524 to 776 of the family's 1533-position model. The record is from RNAcentral.
UACGGGGGGGGCAAGCGUUGUUCGGAAUUACUGGGCGUAAAGGGCUCGUAGGCGGCCAACUAAGUCAGACGUGAAAUCCCUCGGCUUAACCGGGGAACUGCGUCUGAUACUGGAUGGCUUGAAUCCGGGAGAGGGAUGCGGAAUUCCAGGUGUAGCGGUGAAAUGCGUAGAGAUGUGGAGGAACACCGAUGGCGAAGGCAGCCCCCUGGGUCAAGAUUGACGCUCAUGCACGAAAGCGUGGGGAGCAAACAGG